Callorhinus ursinus (northern fur seal) is the source of this 2629-nucleotide non-coding RNA. The record is from RefSeq and is a predicted model, not a curated record. Lineage: Eukaryota; Metazoa; Chordata; Mammalia; Carnivora; Otariidae.
AGCACUGCCAGCAAGUGUGGGGUGAGAGCUCCUCCUGGGACACCCCUUACCCUUGGGGAAGGAAUUGAGCCCCCCCAGGCUCUUCCCCGGGAGAGGACCCCCUCCUCCUUCCUCAUCAACCCCUCCUGGGGCAGGGAGCACCUCCAUCCGCAGCCCCGCCCCCGUCUGGCCCCCGAGACAGACAAGCUGAGAUGACCAUCAAGCUGGAUUUCGAGGAGUGUCUCAAGGACUCACCCCGCUUCCGAGCCUCCAUCGAGCUGGUGGAAGCCGAGGUGUCGGAGCUGGAGACCCGGCUGGAAAAGCUCCUGAAGCUGGGGAACGGCCUCCUGGAAAGCGGGCGCCAUUACGUUGCUGCUAGCCGCACCUUUGUUGCUGGCAUUUGUGACCUGGCCCGCCUGGGUCCACCAGAGCCCAUGAUGGUGGAGUGUCUGGACAAAUUCACCGAGAGCCUCAACCACAAGCUGGACAGCCACGCGGAGCUUCUAGAUGCCACCCAGCACAUGCUGCAACAGCAAAUCCAAACGCUGGUCAAGGAGGGUCUCCGGGGUUUCCGAGAAGCUCGCCGGGAUUUCUGGAGGGGGGCCGAGAGCCUGGAGGCUGCUCUCAUCCACAACGCAGAGGUCCCCAGGCGCCGGGCACAGGAGGCCGAAGAGGCUGGAGCUGCCUUGAAGAUUGCGCGGGCGGGGUACCAGGGGCGAGCCCUGGAUUAUGCACUGCAGAUCAACGUGAUUGAGGACAAGAGAAAGUUUGACGUCAUGGAGUUUGUGCUGCGUCUGGUGGAGGCCCAGGCUACCCAUUUCCAGCAGGGCCACGAGGAGCUGGACAGGCUAGCCCAGUAUCGCAGGGAGCUGGGCGCCCAGUUGCACCAGCUGGUCCUGAAUUCGGCGCGCGAGAGGAGGGACAUGGAGCAGAGACACGUGCUGCUGAAGCAGAAGGAGCUUGGUGGGGAAGAGCCACAGCCAAGCCUGAAGGAGGGGCCUGGUGGGCUGCUCAUGGAAGGCCAUCUCUUCAAGCGGGCCAGCAAUGCAUUUAAGACCUGGAGCAGACGCUGGUUCACCAUUCAGAGCAACCAACUGGUUUAUCAGAAGAAGUACAAGGACCCCGUGACCGUGGUGGUGGAUGACCUUCGCCUCUGCACAGUGAAGCUCUGCCCGGACUCAGAGAGGCGGUUUUGCUUUGAGGUCGUGUCCCCCAGCAAGUCCUGCCUCCUGCAGGCUGACUCCGAGCGCCUCCUCCAGCUGUGGGUCAGCGCUGUACAGAGCAGCAUCGCCACGGCCUUCAGCCAGGCUCGCCUCGAUGACAGCCCCCGGGGACCCGGCCAGGGCUCAGGAUACCCGGCCACAAGCUCCUCGGCUACCCUGGGCUGUGGCGGCAUGGCCCGGGGCAAGGAGCCCGGUGGAGCUGGGCAUGUGGUAGCCCAGGUGCAGGGCGUGCACGGCAAUGCACAGUGCUGUGACUGCCGGGAGCCAGCCCCGGAGUGGGCCAGCAUCAACCUGGGCGUCACCCUCUGCAUCCAAUGCUCCGGCAUCCACAGGAGCCUCGGGGUUCACUUUUCCAAAGUCCGGUCUCUGACCCUUGACUCGUGGGAGCCGGAACUGGUGAAGCUUAUGUGCGAGCUGGGGAAUGUCGUCAUCAACCAGAUCUAUGAGGCCCGCGUGGAGGCCAUGGCCGUGAAGAAGCCAGGGCCCAGCUGCUCCCGGCAGGAGAAGGAGGCCUGGAUUCAUGCCAAGUACGUGGAGAAGAAGUUCCUGACCAAGCUUCCUGAGGUUCGAGGGCGAAGAGGUGGCCGGGGGCCCCCCAGGGGUCAGCCUCCUCUGCCCCCCAAGCCUUCCGUCAGGCCCCGGCCAGGGAGCCUCAGAGCCAGGCCAGAGCCCCCCUCCGAUGACCUGGGCAGCCUCCACCCCGGGGCCCUGCUGUUUCGAGCUGCCGGGCACCCUCCAUCCCUCCCCACCAUGGCCGAUGCCCUCGCCCACGGAGCCGAUGUCAACUGGGUCAACGGCGGUCAGGAGAACGCCACUCCGCUGAUCCAGGCCACAGCUGCUAAUUCUCUUCUGGCCUGUGAGUUUCUCCUCCAGAACGGGGCGAACGUGAACCAAGCGGACAACCACGGCCGGGGGCCGCUCCACCAUGCAACCAUUCUGGGCCACACGGGGCUGGCCUGCCUGUUCCUGAAACGGGGGGCCGAUCUGGGAGCUCGGGACUCUGAAGGCAAAGACCCUCUGACGAUCGCCAUGGAAACGGCCAACGCUGACAUCGUCACCCUGUGAGGAUGCCUGGGGGUUGGGGCUAGCGCUUGCCCUACCCACCUGGGGCGGAGCCAAACGCCGGGACCCGCGUGUGGGCGGAGCUUGGAGAGCCCCGGGCCUGCUCUGGGACCUGGCCGGAGAAAGGCUGUUCCGAGUGCAGACUGGGGCGUGGAGUAGGAAGGGGGGCGGGUAGCGUCCACGGAUGGUGAGUUCGUCCCGAGUGAGGGGCUUCGUGGCUCGUGAGCGUCUUUAAGCACUGGAUCCCAGGGGAGCAGGUGAAUUUAACCACCCCAGCUCAGAGGAUGGGAGGUUGGGGUGGGGGCAGUCAAGACAAAGUCAUUCGGGCCUUAAUUCCUUCCCCUUCAGGCUACGCUUGGCAAAGA